This 5569-nucleotide long non-coding RNA is filed under the name Homo sapiens (human). RNAcentral's name for it is "HSALNT0171633". Lineage: Eukaryota; Metazoa; Chordata; Mammalia; Primates; Hominidae. The record is from RNAcentral.
GCGCCUCCUCCUCCGCACAGCUCCGGUUGCGGGGAGGCCCGGGUGGGUACCCGGCGCUCCGGCUCCCAGUCUCCUGGGCUUCUCCAGUCCUUCAGCGCCGUUCUCCGGUCACAGGGAAUGAAAGCGAGGAAGAAGGAAACGGUGUCGAGAAUUGCGAAGAGAGAAAGCAUAGAAAACCCACAUUAGAGGCACUCCCAGAGCAGAAACCCUUCGGAGCAUCCCGACUUCCUCGGCCCGCGUGCAAUCCAGGCAAAAUUGAGGUUGUCUCUGAGCCGCCCUCCCUAAGCAGGUCGGAAAGCCCCCGAAUCAUCCCAGGUCCCGCCGCGCUGCACUCGCAACCUGGGGUGGAGGUCCCUCUAGUGGUUGGCACCAAACAAAAGUUCUGUCUUAUGAAGAGCCGAGGUCAGGAAGCAUUUCCCUGUGCCCAGCGCCAAGGUCUGGGACCUUAGGUCCAAGAAAAGCGUUGGCAAUGUCUGACCACAGGAAUGGGUUCUCGAACUGGGGAGGACUGAAGCUGGAGAUCUGGUCCAGCCCCUACCUCCAGCGUGUGGCCUGAACCCGUUUUGGUUGUACUGCUAUGUUGUGGCCCUGCCCAGGCCUCCAAGGACUGGCUGCUGUUAAGCUGUUUAAAAUCCCUGUAGGCCUCAGAUGGCAGCGACACCAGGGACUCGGCAUAGUCCCCAGCUCUGGCAGGAGUCACCACAGCCCUAGCCUUUAGUUCUCUACAGGCUGGAGUGUCGACAAACUCCACAGGACACAACUUUUUCAAACCAAAUUUACCCUCGCGGUCUGAAAUGACCAGUAGGCCCAGGAGAAUUUUACAUGUGAACAGAACCUAACCCACCCUGGCAAAUAUGAGACGUGUGGUCACUGCGGGAACCUGGCCAGCAGCAGACCAAAGCACAGCCAGCAGGGGAAGGCUGGGGCCCGCAAGAGUUGUGUUACAACAGGACACCCUUCAGUUCUCUUUCACUUCCUUAAAAUAGCAGCAGAGCGACUUUUGUAGACGCAGGCUGCCACAGUUCACACAAGGUCAUGGCUGUUUCCGAAUCCCACCCUUUAUUGCCCUAGCGGAGCCACUCCCCUUACCUCCGCCCCCAGAAACUGCUAGCCUGUUCUUAAAUUGAUACAGUUACCUUUUUAAAUGUUCUAAGUCACCGGCUCUGGAGCUUCUUUGCACUUUGGAACCAACUUGCGGGAAGGAACUUUAAAAAUACUGAUAUCUCGAUCCAUCCCCAGAGGUUCUGAUUUAAUGGUCUUGGGGAUAUGGCCACGGCAUGAGGACUGUUAAAACUCCGCAGGUGAUUCUUAUGUGCAACAAAGUUUAAGAACCACUGAUGUAGGCCAUGUCGAUGUCAGUCUUCACUUAAAUCCAACAAGACCCCAGAGCUAAAACGUUCACCUGAAAGAAACCCCAUUCCCAGGCCUGCAUACUGACCUGCGCUGGCUCACAAGAAGCAAAGUGGUCCCUUAACAGGGGCUUCCUGGAGAAAAUGUCUUGACCUAAAAGAGUGAUUCGAGCUGCAGGGAUUUAAGCCCACUGAAGGUCAACUGGAGUCAGAGGACAAGAAACAGGAUGAAGGAAAGAAGACUGGACAGGAGGAAGAGAGAUGCAUAGUGAGAUGGGUUCCAGAGGUUCGGAGAAUUCUUACAAUACAGCAAAUGAUGCCAUACAGUGAAGCACCUUGAAAGAUUGCUGGGAUAAGCUGACAGCAUGGCAGCCAAAAUAGUGACCCCAGGCUUGCAGGAAUUCUGUGCUUUCUGGAGGAAAUGGUCAUGGGUUUCCCAACCUGCCUUUUAAACUAAGGACCGAGCUGAAGAAGCCCCCGUCUUCCAGCGCAUGUUAUUCCCAUGACAGAUGCUAAAAGUUCAAGGGGAGAGCUACAAGAAGUGCGUUUUCCUGUGGCUACUUUCAUGUCUGGAUGCAAUGCCUAGACCUGCAUCCAUCUUGCGACCAACCUGAAGAUGAACAGAAAGGAAGGAAGGAUGGCCCAAUAGCCUGGGAAGAACUGGUGUUCCUGAUACCAUCAUUAACCACAGAAUCUACAAUCCCGGAACCCCCCAUCCUUAACCAUGGAAUCUACAAUCCUAUCUCUAGACCCUUUGUCCAGAUGCUACAGUUUCUUUGUUCAAUCUAGUUUGUGUCAGGAUUUCUGUUCAUUACAUCAAAAGUAUUCUAAUACUUGUAGCAAAGCAACUGGAGAAGUUUUCACUUUGUCUUUAACCAAAGAAGACUUCCAGGAAACAUCUCCUCAGUGGGUUUCUCCCUCACCACUGGAUUUUUAUCUCUGUACUAGUGCUUUGAUUUGUUUUAGGAGUCUCACCUCUCCACCUGUCAUAUUUCCCUGGCAGGCUCAUUUCUGCUAAUGCCCACAAUAUGUGUAUCAAUGAGCUUUCAACGUUAGGUACACAGCUCUUCAGGCAUGUAUAGCACAUUAAUCUGUCUGCUUCUAAGUGGUCUGUUGACAUGUUUGGGUGCCAGUUAUAUCUACAAGGCUGUGAUCAUUGUCCUGGGUUAUUCUGUUUGUUCUCUCUGCAGGAUGCAUUAGGACACCCAAGGCCAUGGCCAUCACUUACAUCUAGGAUUCAAUCUUAUCUCCUGUGAAUCACUGGAAACCUCCUGUCCUGGAACCCUUUUUUUCCACAUCCCACUGGAUGUCAUUCAUAGCAACUGGUCUUGUGGGUUGUCUAUUUUAUUGUGUUGUCUUACUCUUCCUCCUGGUAUCAGUUUUUAAAUCCUCUUGAUGAGAUCAGCUGAUCAGUCGCUAAGCAACAUAGUCCCCCAUGUCUUUGUAAGAUUCUCUGCACUCAUGGCUAGAAUGAUUUAUUCUGGUAUCUUAAGCUGUGUUUCAGAACCUCAUUCUAAAUAUCAACCUAUUCUUGUAAGUCCACUACUGAUCAUCUUUAGAUAUUCUUCAGUCUUCCAGAGUUCCAAAGGGCAGUAGGAAGAAGCAAUGAAAAUACCACCUGUAUUCUCACAUCUUUCAUUGUUCCACUCAAAAAAUACCACCAUGUUCACUUCUGGUGGAACGUUUAUGUCCAUGAGAAGCAGUGGCUUUGAAGAGUUUUGGCAGACUAUGGCGCCUUACUCAACAUUGGGAAGGUAUCUUGCCAUCAGACCUUUUGGGUCUCCAUGAAACUUCUUAUACCCCCUCUGGGAAAAGUCACUAACUGUGAUCUUACUGAGCUUCUAAACACAGCAUUUUUUUUACACUUAAGUGAGCGGGGGUCCUCCUCAUUUGUGCUUCUCUUCUUGUAAGGGUGACUUCCUCCCAGUAGGAUGAAUCUCAUGCCUAUUUGUGUUAUUUUGCUAAUUCCAGCUUCUUUUCUACUCAGGGGGGUUCCAACUCUUUUAAGGUCUCAUCUUCAGCACUUCUAAACUGUGGGAAACUAUGUGAAAACAAAUGGAGUGGCCAAACACACCAUUCAUCACUGUGCUUCUGGACAGCUGCAAGUCCAUACGUGUUCUGAUGAAGUCUGGCUCUGUUGCCCAGGCUGGAGUGCAAUGGCACAGUCUCGGCUCACUGCAACCUCUGCCUCCUGGGUUCAUGCAAUUCUCCUGCCUCAGCUUCCCAAGUAGCUGGGAUUACAGACAUGCACCACCAUGCCCAGCUAAUUUUUGUAUUUUUAGUACAAACAGGGUUUCACUAUGUUAGUCGGGCUGAUCUUGAACUCCUGACCUCAAGUGAUCCACUCCCCGCAGCCUCCCAAAGUGCUGGGAUUACAGGCGUGAGCCACUGCGCCCGGCCUUUCAGCUGAUUUUCUAAUCAAGAAGUUAUAUCAGUCUUUGUCUGCAGUUGCUCAAAGACUCUCUUUUAAAGUGCAGAGACUAUCCACCUCAGCUAUAGCACAGGGCUCAGCACUGUAUUUCCAGUUAUGGAAUACAGUUAUUUCAUAUAUGUUAUAUUAUUCUUAAUUCUGUCCCUAGUUCCUGCUACUGAGGAAGUCCAUACUCAGCAGGACAGUCUCCUGGUCUGCCAUGAAUUCAAACACAAUCUGUAAAGACAGUGAAGGAAGCUACAUCUGUGCAUGGGGGCUUUAGAGAAUUAUUGGCUUGAAGCAAUAAGAGGAACAUCUGGGCUGAGUAGUCCUCGAAGACUCUCAUGUGAUUCAAAAGUCCUUUUCUUCCUUAUUAUUUCCUAUCUUGCUCUCAAGCAUCUCCUCUGGCAGCAGCAACUGGAACUAAAAGUGAUUUCUCUAUAACAGCGAGCAAGUUUCUCAUGGCCUUUGCUAUUAACUCUUUCAUGCCUGCUGACCUGCAAAAGAAUCAGGAGGGCUGGUGCUGGAGCAGAUGGCGCACUGUGAGUGAUGGUUUAGAUUCUGCCUGGACUCAAACCAUUUGGUUGAUGGCGGGAACCUUGAUUUUCCCCCUUCUUAUCCUGAGAGUGUAGGGUUUCUCUGAAUUAUUAUUUCUUUCUUUGCAAGGAUCCCUGGAUCCUCAUUCCUGAUAUAAGACUAGUUCUAGGUAAGUGCACAUUCAUGUGAUAUAUUGGUUCCAUACUAGGCAAUGGAAGUGCCACAUUAUCUGUAAGGAGCAGGAGAAGAGCCAUUAGCCCCAGUCCUGGGAACGAACUUUCUGUAACUUUAAGAAACAUAAAACUUUAAAUGCAACUGAAAGAUUAUAUUCUGUCACCUCCAACUACUCACCCAUAAAUACAAUAGGCACCACGGAGGCUAGGAUAAAGUGCAAAUUUAAGAUUAUAAGUGUGCUUAUAAUAAAUAUUGACAACAUCAUGCCUUCAAUGUUAUCAAUGUUGAUGUCACCCUGCAGGCCCAAGGUAGAGAGGUAGAACUGCUCCGCUGGCUGCCCUGCCAUACUUUGGGGUCAUGUGAUACGAUCUUCCAUAGCCACGGGGCCUUGGUUGUCAACUCAUUCCUGAACUUUGUGUGCCAAAGUGAGUCCAGCUUCCACACCCUUCACCUCCACCACCAGGCUGAUCCAGACUGCCAGGCUACGAUCCUCCAAGCAGGAUCCUACCUUGAUCUUAAAAACUUCCUAUGAAGAGCUCUACCAUCAUGUUUUCUAAAACCAGAAGCCCACCCUAAUCCCUGCCUGGCUUUUGGUUCCUUCAUUAGAGGCAAUCACUGCCAUAGAGAGCCCCACUCACUAUCCCUCCAUAGACGCCUUAGAACUAGGUUGGGAGCACGAGAUGCUCAGCCUUUAUAUUUUGUUAUCUUGAACCACAUGGGAGUCUUUGAGGACUACCCAGCCCAGACAUUUCUCUUAUUACUGCAAGCCGAUAAUUCUCUAAAGCACCUAAGCACAGACGUAGCUUCCUUCACUGUCUUUACAGAUUGUGUUUGAAUUCAUGGCACAGCAGAAGACUGUCCUGCUGUGUAUGGAGUUCCUCAGUAGCAGGAACUAGGGACAGAAUUGAGAAUAGCACUAACACCAGAAAUACAGUGCUGAGCCCUGUGCUGUAGCUGAGGUGGAUGGUCUCUGACUCUGUGGGCCUCUCUGCAGCCAGUCCAAUUCCUGUCUUUCUCUUGUGAAUAAAUGUUGCUGGCUCCAACUCAGCCUUAUUUUUUGAUGUGAUUCUGACUCCAGUCAUUAAGGGGGAUGUCUUAG